This 782-nucleotide ribosomal RNA is filed under the name uncultured Neocallimastigales. RNAcentral describes it as "partial large subunit ribosomal RNA". It matches the Rfam family "Eukaryotic large subunit ribosomal RNA", at positions 24 to 643 of the family's 3401-position model. The record is from RNAcentral. Lineage: Eukaryota; Fungi; Neocallimastigomycota; Neocallimastigomycetes; Neocallimastigales.
UAUCUCUGUAGAGUCUGCAUAUCAAUAAGCGGAGGAAAAGAAACUAACAAGGAUUCCCCUAGUAACGGCGAGUGAAGCGGGAAGAGCUCAAAUUUGAAAUCUUAAAGGGUUCUACCUUGACGAAUUGUAGUUUAAAGAAGUGUUUUCUGUUAGAGGUUUGAGUAGCAAAAGUUCCUUUGGAAUAGGGACAUCAUAGAGGGUGAGAAUCCCGUAUUUGGUUAUUCAUUCUAGCUUUGUGAUACACUUUCAAAGAGUCGGAUUGUUUGGGAAUGCAGUCCAAAAUGGGUGGUAAAUUUCAUCUAAAGCUAAAUAUUGGCGAGAGACCGAUAGCGAACAAGUACCGUGAGGGAAAGAUGAAAAGAACUUUGAAAAGAGAGUUAAACAGUACGUGAAAUUGUCAAAAGGGAAGCGUUUGACACCAGUGUUGUUUUUCCGAGAAAUCAAUUACGAAUGGCUUGAUUCUGUGUUGUAUUGACCUUAUCAGCUUUCUUCACUUUUUUCGAGUCUUUCUUAAUGCACUUUUCGGUUAACAAGUCAACAUCAAUUUCUUUUGUUGUAAAAGAGUAUUCGGAAGGUGGCUUUCUUUUCGGAGAAAGUGUUUAUAGCCCUAUACUUCUACAAUCGGAGAGAUUGAGGUCUGCAGCGUAGAUCCUUCGGGGUUAGAUACACUUGUGCUAAGUUGUAGCUUUUCAUAGACAACUUGUUGACUAUGUUUAGUCACGCGGCUUACUCGCUUGUGCUAUUUUACCUACGCUUAGGAUGUUGAAGAUGUAGCACAUCAU